UCUUCCCUCUUUCUUCGUGCCUAAUACAUGCAAGUCGAGCGAACAGACGAGGAGCUUGCUCCUCUGACGUUAGCGGCGGACGGGUGAGUAACACAUGGAUAACCUACCUAUAAGACUGGGAUAACUUCGGGAAACCGGAGCUAAUACCGGAUAAUAUAUUGAACCGCAUGGUUCAAUAGUGAAAGACGGUUUUGCUGUCACUUAUAGAUGGAUCCGCGCCGCAUUAGCUAGUUGGUAAGGUAACGGCUUACCAAGGCAACGAUGCGUAGCCGACCUGAGAGGGUGAUCGGCCACACUGGAACUGAGACACGGUCCAGACUCCUACGGGAGGCAGCAGUAGGGAAUCUUCCGCAAUGGGCGAAAGCCUGACGGAGCAACGCCGCGUGAGUGAUGAAGGUCUUCGGAUCGUAAAACUCUGUUAUUAGGGAAGAACAAAUGUGUAAGUAACUAUGCACGUCUUGACGGUACCUAAUCAGAAAGCCACGGCUAACUACGUG
Molecule: ribosomal RNA, 497 nt
Filed under: uncultured bacterium
Lineage: Bacteria
Description: partial 16S ribosomal RNA
Rfam family: Bacterial small subunit ribosomal RNA
Source: RNAcentral